GUUGAACGCUGGCGGCAUGCUUUACACAUGCAAGUCGAACGGCAGCGCGGGCUUCGGCCUGGCGGCGAGUGGCGAACGGGUGAGUAAUACAUCGGAACGUGCCCAGUAGUGGGGGAUAGCCCGGCGAAAGCCGGAUUAAUACCGCAUACGACCUGAGGGUGAAAGCGGGGGAUCUUCGGACCUCGCGCUAUUGGAGCGGCCGAUGGCAGAUUAGCUAGUUGGUGGGGUAAAGGCCUACCAAGGCGACGAUCUGUAGCUGGUCUGAGAGGACGACCAGCCACACUGGGACUGAGACACGGCCCAGACUCCUACGGGAGGCAGCAGUGGGGAAUUUUGGACAAUGGGCGAAAGCCUGAUCCAGCAAUGCCGCGUGUGCGAUGAAGGCCUUCGGGUUGUAAAGCACUUUUGGCGGGAACGAAAAGGACUGUGCCAAUACCACGGUUCGAUGACGGUACCCGCAGAAUAAGCACCGGCUAACUACGUG
RNAcentral lists this ribosomal RNA (484 nucleotides) under uncultured bacterium. RNAcentral describes it as "partial 16S ribosomal RNA". It matches the Rfam family "Bacterial small subunit ribosomal RNA", at positions 28 to 507 of the family's 1533-position model. The record is from RNAcentral.